Non-coding RNA from Phascolarctos cinereus (koala), 444 nucleotides. Lineage: Eukaryota; Metazoa; Chordata; Mammalia; Diprotodontia; Phascolarctidae. The record is from the annotation of a RefSeq genome assembly.
UUAUCAGAGGGUCUUCUUACUCACUUGCUCAGGGAUCAGCCCUGCACAGAGCACAGUGUGAAGAUGGUGUCCCCAGCUCAGUUCUUCUGCCUCCUCCUGCUUGGGCUUCCAGAUGCCAAUGGAGAGAUUGUGAUGACCCAGUCUCCAACUUCCCUGUCUGUGACUCCAGGAGACACAGUCACCAUCUCCUGCACGGCCAGUCAAGACAUUAGCAAGUAUUUAGACUGGUACCAACAGAAACCCGGUCAGUCUCCAAAGUUACUCAUCUAUUACACAUCCACACUGUACUCUGGGGUCUCAUCCCGGUUCAGCGGCAGUGGGUCUGGCACACAUUACACUCUCACCAUCAGCGGCGUGGAGACUGAAGAUGCUGGAGUUUAUUACUGUCAGCAGUAUAAAAAUUGGUUUCCCACAGUGCUCCAGCCCUGAACAAAAACCUCCCCA